RNAcentral lists this ribosomal RNA (476 nucleotides) under Astropecten polyacanthus. Its description in RNAcentral is "partial 12S ribosomal RNA". The record is from RNAcentral. Lineage: Eukaryota; Metazoa; Echinodermata; Asteroidea; Paxillosida; Astropectinidae.
UCUUAGCAACCGGAUUGGUCCUAGUCCUCUUCUUAGUUCUGCCUAAACCGAUACAUGCAAGCCAAUCGCAACACAGUGAGUAAAACUAAAGUUACACUCAAAAGAAAUAACUUUUAUAAAAGGUAUCAGAAAAUACUACCUAGUUCCAAUACACCUAGCCCCCCACACCUGCAGUACCUAACAUUAUACAAUAAGCAAAAGCUUGAUAUAGUUAUAGACUAAAGAGUUGGUUAAUUAUGUGCCAGCCACCGCGGUUAUACAUAAGACUCAAACUAAGAAAUUCACAUCGGUCUAAAGGUGAUUAAGGUAAAACUACUUUAAGGUGAAAAACAACUUCAGUAUUAACAAGCUUUUACAGUAAACUAACAACUAAACAAAACUUACCUUAAACUCCGACCUGAAACACCAAAGCUCAAAAAUAAACUGGGAUUAGAUACCCCACUAUAUGAGCCUUAAAAAAUCAAAAACACCAGAGA